GACGAACGCUGGCGGCGUGCUUAACACAUGCAAGUCGAACGGAAAGGCCCCUUUGGGGGUACUCGAGUGGCGAACGGGUGAGUAACACGUGAGUAACCUGCCCUUGACUUAGGGAUAACUUCAGGAAACUGGGGCUAAUACCGGAUAGGAAUCCUUGCUGCAUGGUGGGGGUUGGAAAGCUUCGGCGGUUUUGGAUGGACUCGCGGCUUAUCAGCUUGUUGGUGGGGUAGUGGCUUACCAAGGCUUUGACGGGUAGCCGGCCUGAGAGGGCGACCGGCCACAUUGGGACUGAGAUACGGCCCAGACUCCUACGGGAGGCAGCAGUGGGGAAGAUUGCACAAUGGGCGGAAGCCUGAUGCAGCAACGCCGCGUGCGGGAGGACGGCCUUCGGGUUGUAAACCGCUUUCAGCAGGGGCGAAGCUUGUGGUGACGGUACCUGCAGAAGAAGCACCGGCUAACUACGUG
RNAcentral lists this ribosomal RNA (465 nucleotides) under uncultured bacterium. RNAcentral's name for it is "partial 16S ribosomal RNA". It matches the Rfam family "Bacterial small subunit ribosomal RNA", at positions 28 to 507 of the family's 1533-position model. The record is from RNAcentral.